Molecule: ribosomal RNA, 244 nt
Filed under: uncultured bacterium
Lineage: Bacteria
Description: partial 16S ribosomal RNA
Rfam family: Bacterial small subunit ribosomal RNA
Source: RNAcentral
GAUCCUGGCUCAGGAUGAACGCUAGCUACAGGCUUAACACAUGCAAGUCGAGGGGCAGCAUCAUCAAAGCUUGCUUUGAUGGAUGGCGACCGGCGCACGGGUGAGUAACACGUAUCCAACCUGCCGACAACACUGGGAUAGCCUUUCGAAAGAAAGAUUAAUACCGGAUGGUAUAGUUUUCCCGCAUGGGUGACUAUUAAAGAAUUUACGGUUUGUCGAUGGGAGUGCGUUCCAUUAGGUCAGG